RNAcentral lists this ribosomal RNA (501 nucleotides) under Triticum aestivum (bread wheat). RNAcentral's name for it is "partial small subunit ribosomal RNA". Lineage: Eukaryota; Viridiplantae; Streptophyta; Magnoliopsida; Poales; Poaceae. The record is from RNAcentral.
AUGGUCUACUUAAGAUUACAGCCAUGUGCUCAAUCUACGGUGGUAAAUCGUCCGUGUCACAAGCUUGCUCUCAAAUACUUUGGCCCUUACAAAAUUCUGGACAAGGUGGGAAAUGCAGCAUAUCGUUUGGAGUUACCUAGAGGGAGCCAAGUACACCCAGUCUUCCAUGUCUCACAGCUAAAGGGACACAUUCCAGAUCACACCCCAGUGUUCACCUCUUUACCAGUACCAGUGGAUCUAUCACUGCCAGGUGUGGUGCCUGAGGAAAUUCUUGAUCGACGGCUGGUUAAGAAGAAGAACGCAGCACACUUACAGAUCCUGGUGAAGUGGGCGACGCUGCCUGCUGCAUCCGCAACCUGGGAGGAUUACAACAUUCUCAAGUUGAAGUUUCCAAAUGCACCAGUUUGGGGACAACCUGGUUCUCUAGGGGACGGUACUGUAAGCAGUCCAGAGCAGACGAUCGGGAGGACUAAGUCUUCAGGCGGGACAAAGCAGAGUUAA